Molecule: non-coding RNA, 227 nt
Organism: Paramuricea clavata
Lineage: Eukaryota; Metazoa; Cnidaria; Anthozoa; Malacalcyonacea; Plexauridae
Source: the annotation of a GenBank genome assembly
UAAUUAAAGUCCUGAAGCCGGCUGUAUACGAAGGCUGGAUAUAGGGCUAUCCUAUAUAGGAAUAGCAAUUUUUUCAACAUUUCUCAAAAUGCAUGAAUUAAUUAAAGCUGUGAAACAACUGAUAUAUGGACACCGCGAUUAGUAAAAGGAAACUUUAAUUUAUAAACACUAAAGUUUAAUCUGGGUUAUACACCAAUCGAAGGUCGAUUGUAGAAACUUUGAAAAAC